UUCCUACGGGAGGCAGCAGUGAGGAAUAUUGGUCAAUGGACGAGAGUCUGAACCAGCCAAGUAGCGUGAAGGAUGACUGCCCUAUGGGUUGUAAACUUCUUUUAUAUGGGAAUAAAACGUUCCACGUGUGGGAUUUUGUAUGUACCAUAUGAAUAAGGAUCGGCUAACUCCGUGCCAGCAGCCGCGGUAAUACGGAGGAUGCGAGCGUUAUCCGGAUUUAUUGGGUUUAAAGGGUGCGCAGGCGGAAGAUCAAGUCAGCGGUAAAAUUGAGAGGCUCAACCUCCUCGAGCCGUUGAAACUGGUUU
RNAcentral lists this ribosomal RNA (305 nucleotides) under uncultured bacterium. RNAcentral's name for it is "bacterial SSU rRNA". It matches the Rfam family "Bacterial small subunit ribosomal RNA", at positions 336 to 639 of the family's 1533-position model. The record is from RNAcentral.